This 74-nucleotide transfer RNA is filed under the name Acidobacteriota bacterium. Its description in RNAcentral is "tRNA-Leu". It matches the Rfam family "tRNA". Rfam says of the family: Transfer RNA (tRNA) molecules are approximately 80 nucleotides in length. Their secondary structure includes four short double-helical elements and three loops (D, anti-codon, and T loops). Further hydrogen bonds mediate the characteristic L-shaped molecular structure. tRNAs have two regions of fundamental functional importance: the anti-codon, which is responsible for specific mRNA codon recognition, and the 3' end, to which the tRNAs corresponding amino acid is attached (by aminoacyl-tRNA synthetases). tRNAs cope with the degeneracy of the genetic code in two manners: having more than one tRNA (with a specific anti-codon) for a particular amino acid; and 'wobble' base-pairing, i.e. permitting non-standard base-pairing at the 3rd anti-codon position. The record is from RNAcentral. Lineage: Bacteria; Pseudomonadati; Acidobacteriota.
GCGCGCGUAGCCCAACCGGCAGAGGCGACGGUCUUAAGAAUCGUUUAGUGAAAGUUCAAAUCUUUCCGCGCGCA